UCCCUGGCAGCCCAGUGGUUAGGACUCCUCGCUCUCACUGCUGAGGGCCCAGGUUCAAUCCCUGGUCAGGGAA
Molecule: transfer RNA, 73 nt
Filed under: Capra hircus (goat)
Lineage: Eukaryota; Metazoa; Chordata; Mammalia; Artiodactyla; Bovidae
Also listed under: 1 other name
Rfam family: tRNA
About the family: Transfer RNA (tRNA) molecules are approximately 80 nucleotides in length.
Source: Rfam by way of RNAcentral